GAGGAACGCUGGCGGCGUGCUUAACACAUGCAAGUCGAACGGAAAGGCCCUGCUUUUGUGGUGUUCUCGAGUGGCGAACGGGUGAGUAACACGUGUGUAACCUGCCCUUGACUUUGGGAUAGCUUCAGGUAACUGGGGCUACUACCGGAUAGGAGCUCCUGCUGCAUGGUGGGGGUUGGAAAGUUUCGGCGGUUGGGGAUGGACUCGCGGCUUAUCAGCUUGUUGGUGGGGUAGUGGCUUACCAAGGCUUUGACGGGUAGCCGGCUUGAGAGGGUGACCGGCCACAAUGGGACUGAGAGACGGCGCAGACUCCUACGGGAGGCAGAAGGGGGGAAUAUUGCACAAUGGGAGGAAGCCGGAUGCAGCAACGCCGCGUGCGGGAUGACGGCCUGCGGGUUGUAAACCGCUGUCGCCUGUGACGAAGCGUGAGUGACGGUAAUGGGUAAAGAAGCACCGGCUAACUACGUG
This 468-nucleotide ribosomal RNA is filed under the name uncultured bacterium. Its description in RNAcentral is "partial 16S ribosomal RNA". It matches the Rfam family "Bacterial small subunit ribosomal RNA", at positions 31 to 507 of the family's 1533-position model. The record is from RNAcentral.